GAUUAAAGCCGGUGUAAUAUUAUGUUCUGUACGUUUGUUGCGUAUAUGAUAAAUUGACGUAAAUUUAAAGAUAUUGCUAUUGAUACGUGCCUAUUUUGAACUUAAAUUAAUCUUAUUAUUAAUUAAUGAGAAUGUAAUAAAAUGUAUGGUACAACACGCUCGAUCGACUAAUAAUGUUUAGUGAAUCGUAAUUUUAUUCACGAGUAAUUGGCGGUUGAAAACGCCCACGACAAGCUUAACACGA
Non-coding RNA from Cinara cedri, 244 nucleotides. The record is from the annotation of a GenBank genome assembly. Lineage: Eukaryota; Metazoa; Arthropoda; Insecta; Hemiptera; Aphididae.